Triticum aestivum (bread wheat) is the source of this 2774-nucleotide RNA transcript. RefSeq lists it as uncharacterized. The transcript is spliced from 13 exons. NCBI's taxonomy places the organism in Eukaryota, Viridiplantae, Streptophyta, Magnoliopsida, Poales, Poaceae. The record is from RefSeq and is a predicted model, not a curated record.
ACAUCCUCCCACCCACGUACGCCGGAUUUUUUUUCCUCCACCUCCGUUUCGCUUCCCUCGCCCCCCGCCGCCGCCGCCGCCCAGGCUUCUUCCCUCCCACGUCCCCCUAAUUUCCCCCCCUAACCCGGCUAGGGUUCUCACCCGCCGCCGCUUCGUUGCCGCCACAUAAUCUAUCCUCCCCUUCCCCGUGCGACGGGCGGCAUGAUGUCGCCGAUUCUGCGCCCGAGCGCGACGAGGCCGCCCCCAUGGUUGCCAUCGGCGCUCCAUGAUCCGCCGCCUCCCCCACCCUCCUCUCCAUACGCCGCCGUUCCUCCGCAACCCGACGGCCUCCACAAACACCACCACCACGGUCGGAUCUUGGACGGCAGGCGGCGAUGGCGUGCAGCGGAAGAGCAAGAGGGGGGCGUGAAGGCUGGCCGCCGCCGUGAGGAUACCGGCGCCCGUGCGAGCCGUGGUGACGUGGCGGCGAAAGAAGUUGGCCUUCCCAGCGCGCCGCGCGGUGGCCACCGUCUCCCCCGCGCCCGCAAGAGAGGUGUCCAUGAUACCGGUACUGGGGUACGAGGGCGCACCUCCUGGGCGGACUACCGGCAGUUGAUGAAGUGCAGGUCUCUUCUGCAGUACAUGGGGGAUGAUUGCAAGGUGUGCGAGGAGAGUGGAGGGCGUUGUCGGAUCAACACCACCUAUGAUAUCUUCGAGUGCCACUGCUCCGACCACAUUUCUCCGUCCACCUGUGGUACAAGAAGAGAGCGAAGAAGAUUAUACUAAUAGGUAUAACAUUGGCAGCUGCAACCUUUCUCUUUGCACGUCUUUAUGUGCCAAUAUUUCUCCUAUAAAAGCCGCUACUCUACCCGCCAUCCUGAGUUACCUUUGUCGUGCAGUAGUUUUGGAUCGCACGAUCUGCCUUGUUGGCUUGAUUUUACGGCGCUGUCAAAAAUCGCUCCGUUCGUUUCUCUGCACGUUAUUCUUUUGUGCUGAAGUGGAUGUCAGGCGGGCCUCCUUUCUCCACGGGCCCAUUUUACAGCUACACUGGGAAGAAAUCUCAGUGUCCCUUAUUUUUUUGUGCGCAGUCAAAGUGGGUGAAAAGUUAGCUGCCAAUCCCCUCCCGUCCUUGAUCCCUACACCCCAUGCCUCGUCUUUCCUCCUCUCGACAGCCGCCAUGCCCCUUCUCCUCCUUCUCCUCUACCCAGCGCUGCCUCUCCUCCUCUUCUUCGAUCAGAUCCUGUCGGAUCCUCUCCCGCGUGCCGGCUUCUCCUCGAAGAGAAGGGUAACAUGGUUCAGCACCAGUGAAGUUGGUCUUGGGCACGCUGCUGCUGGAGGGAAGGCGGUCCGCCGGCACUCGUGUCUCCUAACCAGGCGUUUCUUCCCCCGGCGCCCAAGGUGAAUCCACGACCUAGGACAUGGUAUGUAGGUGCCGUGCUGUUCUUCCUCCCCUUCGAUUGUUCCAUGGCCACCAGCAGCAACAGGAGGAAAGUCAAGCCCCGACGUUGACCAGAUUCGUGCCCCUGUAUUUAGUUGAUCUGGUUUGUUCUUCUGGAUGUAUAGCUUUCUUUCACAGCUUGGUUGAAGAGCACAUUCGGUGUGCCUGCCAUGACUGCUUGUUCUGCUUGUUGUUUCCUUCGAUUGUUGUCAUGGCCCUCGGUCCUUCGGUUGCUCCGAUCUACGAGGUUGCUGCUGGUUUUUGGGUUCUUGGCUGCGUUGCAUCUUUACCCACCGUGGUCUGCGUUUGGGGUAACAAAUAAUUUUGUUAUUGUUCUUGCAGGCGGUCACACAAUGGCCGCCUUAUAUUAGUAGAAGUUCCUACUCUCAAAAGUAAAACAGUACCAAGUGGGCUGCGAUUCAGAUACUCUUUGAGAACGCCGAUGCUUUACCAAAAAACUGUAUGAUGACGUCGAUGACGUCAGAUUGUAUAUAAUGCAUGGCGGUAGCAUACCCUAGCGUGGCUUGGGCAAGGGAGGCUGUGGACCAUCAGCAGAAAGGUUGACCAAAACUGUUGGCACAUAUUGAUCAUCAUCGGGAGGUCGACUAAUAAUCACAUUGUGCUACUAGCGAAAUACAAAGAUAUUGAUAGAUUACAAUACAAAUGGUCUUUAAAGUCCAGUUGGAAGCUCCUCCCUGUAAUUGAUGAAGGCAAGAUUUACUACUUCCAGGGAGUAAGAGAUCAAAGUACAGCAGCAUUUAAAGAAGUGGCAAUAAUUAGCCAUCCCCGUGCUGGUGAAUACGCAUUUGGAUUUAUAACAUCGAGCAUGAUUCUCCAGCUCUCUACGGAAAUAAUUGUUUCUGGAGGAAUGACCAUGCCGCAGGUGAUUACAGUGCUAGGACCUGCCACUGAUAAGAACCAGGGCACCCGUUGAAACAGAAUGAUGACUGUGUGAGACUUAAAAUAUCGCCAGCACAUCAGGUAUAAUCGAAAACUUUCCUCCAGGCCCUGUGGGUUGCGACUGAACUUAGAUUUCUGAUCCCUGGCUUAAGUUCCUGUAGGUAUUGGCAUCUAACCUUUGUAGAUGUUUACAGUGGAUAAUGCUACAUCCGAUGUACAAUUUGUAGAUUAGAAGCUGGAACAUAAGGACUGUGUGAUGGAGUAAACACUGGUUGUAUAUAUUAGGCGGGAGGGAUAUAAAAGUGCCGUGCUCACACCGCACUUAGGUGGCUUAAUAAGAUUACUGAAAAUGGUUUGUGGUUCUUGUGUGCUCACAGAACGACAGCUUAGUUACUGAUGUUAGGUCAUUACAAUGCAACUUCAACUGAGACCGGUUAAAUUUUUUCAAGUUUUUAUU